UACGGGGGGGGCAAGCGUUGUUCGGAAUUACUGGGCGUAAAGGGCUCGUAGGCGGCCAACUCAGUCAGACGUGAAAUCCCUCGGCUUAACCGGGGAACUGCGUCUGAUACUGGAUGGCUUGAGUUUGGGAGAGGGAUGCGGAAUUCCAGGUGUAGCGGUGAAAUGCGUAGAUAUCUGGAGGAACACCGGUGGCGAAGGCGGCAUCCUGGACCAACACUGACGCUGAGUGAGCGAAAGCCAGGGGAGCAAACGGG
This 254-nucleotide ribosomal RNA is filed under the name uncultured bacterium. RNAcentral describes it as "partial 16S ribosomal RNA". It matches the Rfam family "Bacterial small subunit ribosomal RNA", at positions 524 to 776 of the family's 1533-position model. The record is from RNAcentral.